CUAGUUUACCUAUGACGCCGAUGACCCUGCGAGGCAUGUAUUUUUAUAUGGCUGAUGCGGCGACCUUCACUGAUUGCGCGACCGGAAAACGUUUCAUGGUAGCGAAUAACGCAGAGCUGGAGCGUAGCUACCUGGCUGCGCGCGGUCACAGUGAAAAACCGGUGUUACUGUCAGUAGAAGGUCACUUUACGCUUGAGGCUAAUCCGGAUACUGGUGCGCCAACCAAAGUAUUAGCGCCCGAUACGGCGGGUAAAUUUUACCCGAAUAAGGAUUGCAGUAGUUUGGGGCAGUAAACCUGCUUAAGGCAGAAACAAACGCAAAAUUGCCUGAUGCGCUGCGCUUAUCAGGCCUUGUAUUAUCCCUCCAGUGCAGAGAAAAUCGGCCAGUUUUCUCUGCCUGCAGUCCGCAUGCCGUAUCGGGCCUUGGGUUCUAACCUGUUGCGUAGAUUUAUGCAGCGGACUGCCUUUCUCCCAAAGUGAUAAACCGGACAGUAUCAUGGACCGGUUUUCCCGGUAAUCCGUAUUUGCAAGGUUGGUUUCACUAUGGAACAUGAACUUCAUUAUAUCGGUAUCGACACCGCUAAAGAGAAACUGGAUGUCGAUGUGUUGCGUCCUGAUGGUCGUCAUCGCACCAAAAAAUUCGCUAACACCACUAAAGGGCACGAUGAGCUGGUGAGCUGGCUGAAAGGUCACAAGAUUGACCAUGCGCAUAUCUGCAUCGAAGCGACCGGCACCUAUAUGGAACCUGUCGCUGAGUGCCUUUACGAUGCUGGCUACAUAGUGUCAGUC
RNAcentral lists this ribosomal RNA (788 nucleotides) under Escherichia coli DEC13A. RNAcentral's name for it is "partial 16S ribosomal RNA". Lineage: Bacteria; Pseudomonadati; Pseudomonadota; Gammaproteobacteria; Enterobacterales; Enterobacteriaceae. The record is from RNAcentral.